Molecule: non-coding RNA, 26 nt
Filed under: Mus musculus (house mouse)
Lineage: Eukaryota; Metazoa; Chordata; Mammalia; Rodentia; Muridae
Source: RNAcentral
UAGUAGUUUUGCCUGAUUACCAUACC